GUGCUCGCUUCGGCAGCACACGUACAAAAAUUGGAAUGAUACAGAGAAGAUUAGCAUGGCACCUGCACAUGCAUAACAUGCAAAUUCGAGAAGCAUUCCAUAUUUUU
Molecule: small nuclear RNA, 107 nt
Organism: Trichechus manatus latirostris (Florida manatee)
Lineage: Eukaryota; Metazoa; Chordata; Mammalia; Sirenia; Trichechidae
Source: RefSeq, a predicted model, not a curated record